GACUAGCCUGGGGAAACAAACCAAUACAAAUGAUUAUAAUUAACCUGUGAGAAGCAUUUUUCUCAUCAACAUGGUGUUACUGACUUCCUCACUGCCAGUUUCUCACUGAUUGAGUGUUGAAGAUUUAUUUCUCCUGGACUCCCACAAGUUACAACUGGAGAGUUUGAAAAGCAAUACAGAAGUCAGCAUGGGAGCUAAACAUCAAACUCCUCUGGAGUUCUGGAGUGUCUACUUCUGAAACUAAUUAAGUUGGCAGCAAUAAAUUUUCAGCCUUCCCGA
Molecule: long non-coding RNA, 279 nt
Organism: Corvus hawaiiensis (hawaiian crow)
Lineage: Eukaryota; Metazoa; Chordata; Aves; Passeriformes; Corvidae
Exons: 2
Source: RefSeq, a predicted model, not a curated record